Molecule: ribosomal RNA, 421 nt
Filed under: uncultured bacterium
Lineage: Bacteria
Description: partial 16S ribosomal RNA
Rfam family: Bacterial small subunit ribosomal RNA
Source: RNAcentral
AAUAUUUGAAAAUGGGGGCAACCCCGAUCCAGCCAUGCCGCGUGCGUGAAGAAGGACAUAGGAAUGUACAGCACUUUAAGUUGAGAGAAAGGGCUUUAGACUAUUACUCUGAAAUUUUGUCGAUACCAACAGAAUAAGCACCGGAUAACGCUGUUCUAGCAGCCGCGGUAAUACAGAGGGUGCAAGCGUUAAUCGGAAUUACUGGGCGUAAAGCGCGCGUAGGUGGUUCAGUAAGAUGGGUGUGAAAUCCCCGGGCUUAACCUGGGAACUGCUUUCAUAACUGCUGAGCUAGAGUACGGUAGAGGGUAGUGGAAUUUCCUGUGUAGCGGUGAAAUGCGUAGAUAUAGGAAGGAACACCAGUGGCGAAGGCGACUACCUGGACUGAUACUGACACUGAGGUGCGAAAGCGUGGGGAGCAAAC